CGACCGUCGAACRCGUGACAGAAUGCUGCCGCGGAGGCGCCCGCCGCCUCCUCGGCCCCACCGGCCUCCUCCCUCUCGCCCUUCCGGGCGCGUCGGUUGCUGGCCGGAAUACGGCGCGGGAUGACGCCAAGGAACACGGUAAAGCUGAGGCGCCGGCGGGCCGCUCGCGGUCUCCGUCGGCUGCCGAGGCCAACAGAAAAGAAUAYGACUCUCGGCAACGGAUAUCUCGGCUCUCGCAUCGAUGAAGAACGCAGCGAAAUGCGAUACGUGGUGUGAAUUGCAGAAUCCCGUGAACCAUCGAGUCUUUGAACGCAAGUUGCGCCCGAGGGACCCUCCCGAGGGCACGCCUGCCUCAUGGGCGUUAGAAGCCCAUCCACGCUCGGCUGCCGGACUAACGGCAGAGAUGCGGACAYUGGCCCUCCGAACCGCGAGGCGCGGUGGGCCUAAGUGUGCGGCCGUCGUACGUGGCCGGGAGCGGCGAGUGGUGGGCUGCUGCGCACGCCGCCCCGAGCCCCGUACCGACGCAGGGCCUUGUACGACCCCCUAACGAGGAGCAAGCCGCCGCGGCUCCGGCUGCGCGGCGCCUUCGGACCGAUACCCCAG
Molecule: small RNA, 603 nt
Filed under: Carex chilensis
Lineage: Eukaryota; Viridiplantae; Streptophyta; Magnoliopsida; Poales; Cyperaceae
Description: eukaryotic LSU rRNA
Rfam family: 5.8S ribosomal RNA (bases 207-361)
Source: RNAcentral